RNAcentral lists this transfer RNA (73 nucleotides) under Bos taurus (domestic cattle). It matches the Rfam family "tRNA". From Rfam's summary of the family: Transfer RNA (tRNA) molecules are approximately 80 nucleotides in length. Lineage: Eukaryota; Metazoa; Chordata; Mammalia; Artiodactyla; Bovidae. The record is from Rfam by way of RNAcentral.
UCAGUGGUGGUAGAGUGGUUAAGACACUGCACUCCCAAUGCAGGGAGCCUGGGUUCGAUUCCUGGUCAGGGAA